AGCUAACGCAUUAAGCACUCCGCCUGGGGAGUACGGUCGCAAGAUUAAAACUCAAAGGAAUUGACGGGGGCUCGCACAAGCGGUGGAGCAUGCGGUUUAAUUCGAUGUUACGCGAAAAACCUUACCAACCCUUGACAUGGUGGUCGCGGAUCGCAGAGAUGCUUUUCUUCAGCUCGGCUGGAUCACACACAGGUGUUGCAUGGCUGUCGUCAGCUCGUGUCGUGAGAUGUUGGGUUAAGUCCCGCAACGAGCGCAACCCUCAUUCUUAUUUGCCAGCGGGUAAUGCCGGGAACUAUAAGAAAACUGCCGGUGAUAAGCCGGAGGAAGGUGGGGACGACGUCAAGUCAUCAUGGCCCUUACGGGUUGGGCUACACGCGUGCUACAAUGGU
RNAcentral lists this ribosomal RNA (389 nucleotides) under Rickettsia sp. LON Mie180. RNAcentral describes it as "bacterial SSU rRNA". It matches the Rfam family "Bacterial small subunit ribosomal RNA", at positions 850 to 1234 of the family's 1533-position model. Lineage: Bacteria; Pseudomonadati; Pseudomonadota; Alphaproteobacteria; Rickettsiales; Rickettsiaceae. The record is from RNAcentral.